RNAcentral lists this unclassified non-coding RNA (253 nucleotides) under uncultured Eubacteriales bacterium. RNAcentral's name for it is "contains 16S-23S intergenic spacer region". It matches the Rfam family "Bacterial small subunit ribosomal RNA", at positions 524 to 776 of the family's 1533-position model. The record is from RNAcentral. Lineage: Bacteria; Bacillati; Bacillota; Clostridia; Eubacteriales.
UACGUAGGGGGCAAGCGUUAUCCGGAUUUACUGGGUGUAAAGGGAGCAUAGGUGGUUUGGUAAGUGAGAUGUGAAAGCCCGGGGCUCAACCCCGGGACUGCAUUUCAAACUGCUAGACUAGAGUGCAGGAGAGGUAAGUGGAAUUCCUAGUGUAGCGGUGAAAUGCGUAGAUAUUAGGAGGAACACCAGUGGCGAAGGCGGCUUACUGGACUGUAACUGACACUGAGGCUCGAAAGCGUGGGGAGCAAACAGG